This 1484-nucleotide ribosomal RNA is filed under the name human oral metagenome. Its description in RNAcentral is "bacterial LSU rRNA". It matches the Rfam family "Bacterial large subunit ribosomal RNA", at positions 1102 to 2570 of the family's 2925-position model. The record is from RNAcentral.
UGGCUUAGAAGCAGCCAUUCAUUUAAAGAGUGCGUAAUAGCUCACUGGUCGAGUGGACAUGCGCCGACAAUAUACGGGGCUAAGCACGGUACCGAAGCGGCGGACCCGCGCGCGAGCGCGGGUGGUAGGGGAGCUUUCCGUCCGGGGCGAAGCGAGGGGGCGACCCCCCGUGGACCGGCCGGAAGUGAGAAUGCUGGCAUGAGUAGCGAGAGGGGCGUGAGAAACGCCCCCGCCGUAAACCCAAGGUUUCCUGGGCAAGGCUAAUCCUCCCAGGGUCAGUCGGGUGCUAAGGCGAGGCCGGAAGGCGUAGCCGACGCGCAGCAGGCAGACAUUCCUGCACCCCCGACGCGGCGCCAUCACCGACGGGGUGACGGAGAAGGGUAGCUCAGCGGGGUUCUGGACGUCCCCGUGAGGCCACGUAGGCCGGGCGGCUGUGAAACGCGCCGCCCGCGAGGGCUGAGGUGGCUGACGAAGCGACUGGGUGAAGUGAGUGAGCCCAUGCUCCCGAGAAAAACCCCUAGGGAUGCCGCGCGGGGCCCGUACCGCAAACCGACACAGGUGGGUGGGUAGAACAUACCAAGGCGAUCGGGAGAACUAUGGUUAAGGAACUCGGCAAAACUGCCCCGCAACUUCGGGAGAAGGGGUGCCGCCGCCGGUGGAGGGGCUUGCCCCCCGAGCUGGUGGCGGCCACAGUGAAGAGGUCCAAGCGACUGUUUAUCAAAAACACAGGACUCUGCUGAAGUCGUAAGACGACGCAUAGGGUCUGACGCCUGCCCGGUGCCGGAAGGUCACGAGGAGCCGUCAGCGAGAGCGAAGCGGCGAAUCCAAGCCCCGGUAAACGGCGGCCGUAACUAUAACGGUCCUAAGGUAGCGAAAUUCCUUGUCGGGUAAGUUCCGACCUGCACGAAAGGCGUAACGAUUUGGACGCUGUCUCAACCAUAGACCCGGUGAAAUUGCACUAGUCGUGAAGAUGCGACUUACCCGCGGAAGGACGGAAAGACCCCGUGAACCUUUACUGCAGCUUGACAUUGGCUGCCGGUUCGUCGUGUAGAGGAUAGGUGGGAGACUUUGAACCAGGGACGCCAGUUUCUGGGGAGUCACCCUUGGAAUACCACCCUCGACGUUUCGGCAUCCUAACCUGCGACCGUUAUCCGGCGUGGGGACCGUGUCAGGUGGGUAGUUUGACUGGGGCGGUCGCCUCCUAAAAUGUAACGGAGGCGCACGUAAGGUCUGCUCAGAAUGGUCGGCAACCAUUCUUUUGAGUGCAAGAGCAUAAGCAGGCUUGACUGCGAGGCCUACAAGCCGAGCAGAUGGGAAACCAGGUUCUAGUGAUCCGGCGGCUCAGAGUGGUAUGGCCGUCGCUCAACGGAUAAAAGGUACUCCGGGGAUAACAGGCUGAUCUUCCCCAAGAGUCCACAUCGACGGGAAGGUUUGGCACCUCGAUGUCGGCUCAUCGCAUCCUGGGGCUGGAGCAGGUCCCAAGG